RNAcentral lists this ribosomal RNA (305 nucleotides) under uncultured bacterium. Its description in RNAcentral is "bacterial SSU rRNA". It matches the Rfam family "Bacterial small subunit ribosomal RNA", at positions 337 to 635 of the family's 1533-position model. The record is from RNAcentral.
UCCUACGGGGGGCAGCAGUAGGGAAUUUUCGUCAAUGGGCGCAAGCCUGAGCGAGCAAUGCCGCGUGAACGAGGAAGGUCUUCGGAUCGUAAAGUUCUGUUGAAGGGGAAAAAGAGCGGAGAGAGGAAAUGGUCUCCGAUUGAUAUUACCCUUCGAGGAAGUCACGGCUAACUACGUGCCAGCAGCCGCGGUAAUACGUAGGUGGCGAGCGUUAUCCGGAAUGAUUGGGCGUAAAGGGUGCGUAGGCGGCCUGCUAAGUCUGGAGUGAACGGUACCGGCUCAACCGGUACAGGCUCUGGAAACUG